AAGAAAAAGUCAUGCAUCAUAACCCAUAAAUAUCAUUAAUUUCUGAUCAUUUAUGAUAUAAGAAGCAGCUUUUCCAUACACAGUCCACAAAAACUUCCAUACAGUAUCACAAAGAGAAACAGAAUAUGGCCCGAAAGGAGAAGAUCACAGCUUUCACACUUGUCUUAGCUUUGGCAUUGAUAAUGUUAUCAACAGAUGUUGGUAUUGGAGUUCAAGCUUCAAAGUGUCCUUACCCAGAAGGAUGCAUAAGGAAUGAGCCAUGCCCAGCAGAUACAGGAGCAGAAUGUGAGGUUUAUUCAAUACCCACUCUACCAUGUUCUUGCUCUGAAGUAAAGAGAUGUGAUCCCACAGCCAGUGGAUGCAGUGAGAGCACAAUUGCAGGCCUUCGUUCUUGUGAUUUCUGAGCAAUGAGCCUAAUAACUAAAUAAAAGAUUUGGCUUCUUGCCAACAUGAUCAUGAAUAUUAUGUUGAGAUUACUAGUGUUUUCCAGUGGAUAUGAAAAUAAAUCAGUCGAGUGUACUGGUUUAGAUAGAGCCAACACUCUCUGUGAUUGAAUUGCAGUCUAUGUAGUUGUUAAAAGAAGGUAAAAUGGCAAAACAAUUCCAUUGGACUUUCUUUUCAGUUUAUAUGAUGGUGUAAUACUUAAUCAAGGGUAUUUGAUUAA
Cryptomeria japonica (Japanese cedar) is the source of this 664-nucleotide long non-coding RNA. RefSeq lists it as uncharacterized. Lineage: Eukaryota; Viridiplantae; Streptophyta; Pinopsida; Cupressales; Cupressaceae. The transcript has 3 exons. The record is from RefSeq and is a predicted model, not a curated record.